Molecule: small RNA, 365 nt
Filed under: Arabidopsis thaliana (thale cress)
Lineage: Eukaryota; Viridiplantae; Streptophyta; Magnoliopsida; Brassicales; Brassicaceae
Description: ATSL126850
Source: RNAcentral
UAUGGAAUAAAAAUAAGUAAUUGGAUAUUAAACUUACAUGAGCAUCAGAACCAUCUUUGAGUGCAGAAUCUCCUCUCCAUGUAACUUUUUGGUUCGGAGGCAAUUUUCCAGAACGUUGAGCUUCAAAAUACAAAAGACUCUUUUGGAGAGCUUCUGCAUAAUUUGUAGAAACAGCUCCACGAGCCAUCGACAUUACUAGUACCACAAUGCAAAUACUUGUCCAUAAGCAUUGUGAAGAUCCGUUUUUCGAUUGAGACAUCUUUUUUUGAUAAAUCUUUAGACGAUCUCAAGACCAAUUGUACAAUAGAUUUUACUUUUUGCUUGUGUUUUGGAUGUCUAUGUCUAUGUAUGUAUUCACUAUUUAU